This 305-nucleotide ribosomal RNA is filed under the name Draconarius sp. ZZ914. Its description in RNAcentral is "partial 12S ribosomal RNA". The record is from RNAcentral. Lineage: Eukaryota; Metazoa; Arthropoda; Arachnida; Araneae; Agelenidae.
AAACUAAUUUAUUUUGGCGGCAUUCAAUCUAAUUAGAGGAAUUUGUUUACUAAUCGAUAAACCACGUUAAAUUUCGCUUCAAUCUCAAAUCUAUAUACCGCCAUCUUAAAAAUCAAUUUAAAAAUAAUUUUUCAAAAACAAAUAAAAUAUUAGGUCAAGGUGUAAUUUAUAUUAAAGAACAAAUGAAUUACAUUAAAUAUAAUUUAAAGAUUAUAAAUAAAUAUAUCUAUAUAAAUAAGGAUUUAAAAGUAAUAUUAAAAUAAUAUUUAAAUAUGAUAUAGAUAAUAAAUGUGUACACAUCGCCC